GCUAAUACCGGAUAACAACACUAGACGCAUGUCUAGAGUUUAAAAGAUGGUUCUGCUAUCACUCUUGGAUGGACCUGCGGUGCAUUAGCUAGUUGGUAAGGCAACGGCUUACCAAGGCAAUGAUGCAUAGCCGAGUUGAGAGACUGAUCGGCCACAUUGGGACUGAGACACGGCCCAAACUCCUACGGGAGGCAGCAGCA
Molecule: ribosomal RNA, 200 nt
Filed under: uncultured bacterium
Lineage: Bacteria
Description: partial 16S ribosomal RNA
Rfam family: Bacterial small subunit ribosomal RNA
Source: RNAcentral